RNAcentral lists this long non-coding RNA (254 nucleotides) under Vitis vinifera (wine grape). RNAcentral's name for it is "long non-coding RNA (VVIN_LNC007005)". Lineage: Eukaryota; Viridiplantae; Streptophyta; Magnoliopsida; Vitales; Vitaceae. The record is from RNAcentral.
UUGCAACCAAGUUCUGUAUCUGGACAGCCUGAUUGUCGUACCUUCUCACCAACAUUUGGAACAUCCUUCAUACUCAAAAGCAGAACUGUGAAAAUCUGAUGACAGUAUGCAUGAGUAAUUAGGUGUCUCCAGUACUACUGUCAGGCUCCAUUGCCUCCUCACUAGUCCCAUAAAAGUUUCCCAAUUUCUGGGAUCCAGAAUGUUUAUUCUGUUUGCCUCGACCAGGAUUUUCAUGUAUAUCAGGUAUGUUGUCC